GAUGAACGCUGGCGGCGUGCCUAAUACAUGCAAGUCGAGCGAACGGACGAGAAGCUUGCUUCUCUGAUGUUAGCGGCGGACGGGUGAGUAACACGUGGAUAACCUACCUAUAAGACUGGGAUAACUUCGGGAAACCGGAGCUAAUACCGGAUAAUAUUUUGAACCGCAUGGUUCAAAAGUGAAAGACGGUCUUGCUGUCACUUAUAGAUGGAUCCGCGCUGCAUUAGCUAGUUGGUAAGGUAACGGCUUACCAAGGCAACGAUGCAUAGCCGACCUGAGAGGGUGAUCGGCCACACUGGAACUGAGACACGGUCCAGACUCCCACGGGAGGCAGCAGUAGGGAAUCUUCCGCAAUGGGCGAAAGCCUGACGGAGCAACGCCGCGUGAGUGAUGAAGGUCUUCGGAUCGUAAAACUCUGUUAUUAGGGAAGAACAUAUGUGUAAGUAACUGUGCACAUCUUGACGGUACCUAAUCAGAAAGCCACGGCUAACUACGUG
Molecule: ribosomal RNA, 497 nt
Filed under: uncultured bacterium
Lineage: Bacteria
Description: partial 16S ribosomal RNA
Rfam family: Bacterial small subunit ribosomal RNA
Source: RNAcentral